Molecule: ribosomal RNA, 65 nt
Filed under: Fusarium neocosmosporiellum
Lineage: Eukaryota; Fungi; Ascomycota; Sordariomycetes; Hypocreales; Nectriaceae
Description: partial 28S ribosomal RNA
Source: RNAcentral
GAAUGUUGACCUCGAAUCAGGUAGGAAUACCCGCUGAACUUAAGCAUAUCAAUAGUCCGGAAGAA